CACUCAGGGGGCGGUUCCUCAGCCCGGAUUGUGAGGGAGCACAGGCCAGGCUGAGGGACCCCACCAGAGCA
Molecule: microRNA precursor, 71 nt
Filed under: Myotis brandtii (Brandt's bat)
Lineage: Eukaryota; Metazoa; Chordata; Mammalia; Chiroptera; Vespertilionidae
Description: mir-9193 microRNA precursor family
Rfam family: mir-9193 microRNA precursor family
Source: Rfam by way of RNAcentral